UACGAAGGGGGCUAGCGUUGUUCGGAAUUACUGGGCGUAAAGGGCGCGUAGGCGGCUGUGCAAGUCAGGUGUGAAAGCCCUGGGCUCAACCCAGGAUGUGCACUUGAUACUGCGCAGCUAGAGUGUCGGAGAGGAUGGUGGAAUUCCCAGUGUAGAGGUGAAAUUCGUAGAUAUUGGGAAGAACACCGGUGGCGAAGGCGGCACCCUAGCAUUUUUCUGACGCUCAUGUGCGAAAGCGUGGGGAGCGAACGGG
Molecule: ribosomal RNA, 253 nt
Filed under: uncultured bacterium
Lineage: Bacteria
Description: partial 16S ribosomal RNA
Rfam family: Bacterial small subunit ribosomal RNA
Source: RNAcentral